GUAUAUACGAGUAUAUAUAUAUAUAUACCUAUGGCGUGUUGAUCGAAAUCCACUUUGCUCUAUCUAUAUAUACUAUAUGUACUCCCCGGUCGACGAUGUUGGCUGUCUAUUUGCUUGACUUGCUCCACUGCUUGCUCCUGUGUGUGUAUAUAGCCCAGUAUAUAAUGGCCUAACAAAGUUAGAAGAUGCCGGCUAUAUCCUAUACGUUGCUGCUUUUAUAGACACAAAACACACAGCCAGCCACGGCACGGACUGAAGCCAGCGACAAUAAGAGCGGAAAAAGCUCUUGAAUAGACACAUGAUUUUUGCAGGGCAGAUAGAACCCCCACUCCCUUUUUCUCUCUAUUAUGUAAGAGAGCUGGGCCUAGUUCUCCUGCUGGUGCAGCGCGGCCUCAACAUCCAUAGGCCCCCGGAAUUUGAUCGCAACGGCUGCGAAACAAUAGCGGAUAUUACGGUGAGUGCUGUAUAGUGGAUCGGAUUUGUCGAGUUGAUGCAAACAAGUGUAUACAACAGAGAGACCGGUGCUUUAUAGCUCAGACUUUCAUAUGAGCGAGGCGUGAAUCAGA
This is a long non-coding RNA of Daphnia pulicaria, 566 nucleotides long. RefSeq lists it as uncharacterized. The record is from RefSeq and is a predicted model, not a curated record. NCBI's taxonomy places the organism in Eukaryota, Metazoa, Arthropoda, Branchiopoda, Diplostraca, Daphniidae. The transcript is spliced from 2 exons.